Molecule: ribosomal RNA, 253 nt
Filed under: uncultured bacterium
Lineage: Bacteria
Description: partial 16S ribosomal RNA
Rfam family: Bacterial small subunit ribosomal RNA
Source: RNAcentral
UACGGAGGGUGCAAGCGUUAUCCGGAUUCACUGGGUUUAAAGGGUGCGUAGGAGGGCAGGUAAGUCAGUGGUGAAAUCUCCAAGCUUAACUUGGAAACUGCCGUUGAUACUAUCUGUCUUGAAUACCGUGGAGAUGAGCGGAAUAUGUCAUGUAGCGGUGAAAUGCUUAGAUAUGACAUAGAACACCAAUUGCGAAGGCAGCUCGCUACACGAAUAUUGACUCUGAGGCACGAAAGCGUGGGGAUCAAACAGG